CUGGGACUGAGACACGGCCCAGACUCCUACGGGAGGCAGCAGUGGGGAAUAUUGCGCAAUGGGCGGAAGCCUGACGCAGCGACGCCGCGUGGGGGAUGACGGCCUUCGGGUUGUAAACCUCUUUCGCCAGGGACGAAGAGUGAUUGACGGUACCUGGAGAAGAAGCACCGGCCAACUACGUGCCAGCAGCCGCGGUAACACGUAGGGUGCGAGCGUUGUCCGGAAUUAUUGGGCGUAAAGAGCUCGUAGGCGGUGUGUCGCGUCGGCCGUGAAAACUUGGGGCUUAACUCUGAGCGUGCGGUCGAUACGGGCAUCACUUGAGUUCGGCAGGGGAGACUGGAAUUCCUGGUGUAGCGGUGAAAUGCGCAGAUAUCAGGAGGAACACCGGUGGCGAAGGCGGGUCUCUGGGCCGAUACUGACGCUGAGGAGCGAAAGCGUGGGGAGCGAACAGGAUUAGAUACCCUGGUAGUCCACGCCGUAAACGUUGGGCGCUAGGUGUGGGGACCAUUCCACG
Molecule: ribosomal RNA, 514 nt
Filed under: bacterium 1b82709
Lineage: Bacteria
Also listed under: 4 other names
Description: bacterial SSU rRNA
Rfam family: Bacterial small subunit ribosomal RNA
Source: RNAcentral